This 225-nucleotide ribosomal RNA is filed under the name uncultured Coriobacteriaceae bacterium. RNAcentral describes it as "partial 16S ribosomal RNA". It matches the Rfam family "Bacterial small subunit ribosomal RNA", at positions 1160 to 1382 of the family's 1533-position model. Lineage: Bacteria; Bacillati; Actinomycetota; Coriobacteriia; Coriobacteriales; Coriobacteriaceae. The record is from RNAcentral.
AAGCCGGAGGAAGGUGGGGAUGACGUCAAGUCAUCAUGCCCCUUAUGUCCCUGGGCUGCACACGUGCUACAAUGGCCGGUACAAUGGGCUGCGAUACCGUGAGGUGGAGCGAAUCCCAUAAAACCGGCCCCAGUUCGGAUCGAAGGCUGCAACUCGCCUUCGUGAAGUCGGAGUUGCUAGUAAUCGCGGAUCAGCAUGCCGCGGUCGAAUACGUUCCCGGGCCUU